GUCCUGUUUCUCUGUCUGCAGGUGCUCUGGGCAUUGCCAUACUGUUCUCUACAAAAGGGGAGCUCUCAAGAGACCUUUGCUAGAAAAAUUGUUCUAGAGGACAUAUCUGUUGAAAGGUUCCCAUCUUUAGACAAGCUCUUCAAGAAUUAUUUAGCUUUUUCUGCUCACUUUCUGUAUGAAGUUCACAGCACUCUUUUGAGACAGAAUAGUGUUGGAAGAAUAG
Molecule: long non-coding RNA, 223 nt
Filed under: Cyanistes caeruleus (blue tit)
Lineage: Eukaryota; Metazoa; Chordata; Aves; Passeriformes; Paridae
Description: lncRNA (ENSCCEG00000024418.1)
Source: RNAcentral